CGCGGGAUAGAGAAGUAGUAUCUCGCGAGGCUCAUAACCUCGAGACGUGGGUGCAAUUCCCACUCCCGCAACAA
RNAcentral lists this transfer RNA (74 nucleotides) under Candidatus Wolfebacteria bacterium. RNAcentral's name for it is "tRNA-Met". It matches the Rfam family "tRNA". From Rfam's summary of the family: Transfer RNA (tRNA) molecules are approximately 80 nucleotides in length. Their secondary structure includes four short double-helical elements and three loops (D, anti-codon, and T loops). Further hydrogen bonds mediate the characteristic L-shaped molecular structure. tRNAs have two regions of fundamental functional importance: the anti-codon, which is responsible for specific mRNA codon recognition, and the 3' end, to which the tRNAs corresponding amino acid is attached (by aminoacyl-tRNA synthetases). tRNAs cope with the degeneracy of the genetic code in two manners: having more than one tRNA (with a specific anti-codon) for a particular amino acid; and 'wobble' base-pairing, i.e. permitting non-standard base-pairing at the 3rd anti-codon position. The record is from RNAcentral. Lineage: Bacteria; Candidatus Wolfeibacteriota.